UAAUUGCACAUAUAUAACAACCUGGCUCUGUUAUUGUUGAUGCGUAUUAUGUCAGAAGACUUGCACUAGUUCAUCUGUAAUGUUGCACGCCAAAAAUUCAUCGUCUCCGAUUCCGGAUCCUCCAUGGCACACGGUGCCAGAUUCAGCCGGUACCGUUGAACAUGCUCAAAUACUCUCACGUCUUUCAACUUAUGGGUUCAGUCAACUAUUCAUCCGUGAUAAACAACUGAUGAUUGAAGAAAUGAUGUCUAUGAAUGAACUUCAAGGUAUUGUUAUCAAAACACCUGCAGAGGCAGAGAGUUGAUAUUGUGGUUCUGGCAGCUCUGCUCCACAGAUCAGCAACGGCUUAUCAAUAAUAUGUUUGAUGAUGUGAACUACUGCCAAGUAGACAUCGGAGAUUCCGCUGUCGAUAGACUACCUGAUGAGAGUGAGGCCUUCAUAAGACUCGGAACAUUUACAGAGCUGCUAGCUACAUUUCCUUGGCAUUGGGAAGGUUUCAGUCGACUUUGGGAACUUUCUGGCGAUGAUCAGUCCCGCUAUGCUGAAUUUUUCUUAGGUUUGUCAACUUUUUGUAUCAGAACUCAGUGCUCCGAUGAUGCUGAAGAUCAAGUUGCACUUGUCCUUGAAAAAUUCGGAUGUGAUGUAAUUCAGAAACUGCCUUAUGAGAGUGAAGAGGAUUUUAGAGUCCGAAGGUUUAAAGAUAGCUUUACGAAACUACAGUUCAGUUCCCAGCUUUGUAUUGUAUCCCAACUACUAGAAGAGUUGGAAAAAAACUGAAGAAGAAGACAAAAAGGAAGCUGGAAAUAGGGAUUUCUGUUCUCGGAACAAUAUAAUAUGUUGCAAGUGUUUUGGUAAAGAUGCCGAAGAAUGGUCUACCCCAAAUCAAAAGGAUGAGGAAGAAUGGGAAUGGAUUUCUGCUGAAAAUUAUAGGCGGGAUAGUUUCUUGGCCAAGGGAAGAAGGGAAGAACUCUGUCUUCCUCAAUUCAUCAAGGUGAAAUGUCCAGAUCUAAGGGGAGGAGGAGGAUCAACUACAACAACUACACAAGGAGGAGGCAGCAGGGGACUAGUUCGCAACCACAGGCAUGCACUAAGAAACAGGCUUCCUAUGGCUGAUGAUAUCAGCGGCUGUCCCAGUGACUCUCCCUUUUAACACUUCUUUUCUUUGGUCAUGAUCAGUGGUUCACUCCCCCAGAGCUUAUCAGUGUAACUUCCAUGGGAUUCGAUCGAUUCCCUUUCUAUAUAAUGUUGCAAUUUGCGUGCAUCUUUAUUGUUUUCUAGCUGCACCUACACAGAUAAUCGUUGUUAUAAAUGCUCAUAUAAUCAUUGUCCAGAGGAUUCUUUGUUA
Long non-coding RNA from Rosa chinensis, 1345 nucleotides. RefSeq lists it as uncharacterized. The record is from RefSeq and is a predicted model, not a curated record. The transcript has 2 exons. NCBI's taxonomy places the organism in Eukaryota, Viridiplantae, Streptophyta, Magnoliopsida, Rosales, Rosaceae.